This is a long non-coding RNA of Lonchura striata (white-rumped munia), 1678 nucleotides long. The record is from Ensembl. Lineage: Eukaryota; Metazoa; Chordata; Aves; Passeriformes; Estrildidae.
AUGGCCGGGCGGCGCCGCGGGCUGGAACGGACGGGCUCCUUCUUUGUCAUCCGUGUGCGCGGCGCCCGGCUUCGUCACGCGUGUGGGGGUACGGUCCCCUUAGUCACAUGGGUGUGCCCGUGCAGACGCCCGGCUUUGUCACACAUGUACAUCCCUUUGUCAUGCGUGUGCGUGGUGCCCUCUUUGUCACGGGUGUAUUGCCUGCUCCAUCCUGUAUGUGUGUGUAUCCUCCAUCCUAUGUGUGUGUAUCCUCAAUCCUCCAUGUGUGUGUAUCCUCCAUGUGUGUGUAUCCUCAAUCCUAUAUAUGUGUGUAUAUCCUCCAUCCUCCAUGUGUGUGUAUCCUCCAUGUGUGUGUAUCCUCCAUGUGUGUGUAUCCUCAAUCCUCCGUGUGUGUAUAUCCUUCAUCCUAUAUAUGUGUGUAUAUCCUCCAUCCUCCAUGUCUGUGCAUCCUCCAUCCUCCAUGUGUGUAUAUCCUCCAUCCUAUGUAUGUGUGUAUAUCCUCCAUCCUAUGUGUGUGUAUCCUCCAUCCUCCAUGUGUGUAUAUCCUCCAUCCUAUAUGAGUGUGUAUCCUCCACCCUAUGUGUGUGUGUGUAUCCUCCACACUAUAUAUGUGCGUAUCCUCCAUCCUACAUAUAUUUCUGUAUGUCCUCCACCCUGUAUGUGCGUGUGACCCCGUGAUCCCAGCAAAGUGCAUGUCAAAAACCCAAACCCAAGCCUUCUGGGACACCACAGAUGUAGAGAUCAGCAUUCCUGCCGGGGGAAUCGUAGGGAUCCACAAAUGGCAAACCACAGAAAUCCCCGUGUUCAUUCUUAGGCGUGGAUGUAAUCCCUAAGAAAACAGGGAUUCGCUUCUUUUUGUGCUGGAGAAUCUAAAAAUCAGACUGGCUCCUGGUGCUGCUUUCCUGCUGAAAAUUUGGGAUUGUGGGGUUAACGUGCUGUUCCGUCGCCUGUACAUUUAAAUGCGUUCAACCUAUUUGAUAAAUAACUGCUCCCAAGCUUUGGUGAUAUUAAAUCCAGCUAAAUAAGAUUCCCCAUGGAAUAUCAAGGCUCUAAUUGAAUCUCAGGGGUUCUGGGCCCGUUCGCCAAACAGCCUUUGAGUUGUUUUUGUUCCUGACGUCAGCCCAAGGCUUGAUUGAAUUAUGGCCUUGGACUGCGGGAGCACCUGCCAGGGCCACUGCGCUGAAGAGUCCGGCAGCGUUUCCAGGCCAAAGCUCGGCGGGAAGUUUGUGGCUGGAAUACAAACUUCAGCCAGGGAGCAGAACUGGCAAACCCAAAUCGAUUCCCUCCGCUCUCCUCUUCCCUCACCGCUGCUCCCACGCCGCUCCUUGGGUGCUCCCCUUUCUCGGGGCGACCGCGGGAUGCGGCGGAGGGGAGCUGAAAUAUUGGCACCUCAUGAAAUGGCACACAACGGAUUGUUUGUUUGGGAUCUCGGGAACAAAGACGGGCAGGGAAGAGGCUGGGGCACCGUCAGGCGCUGCAAUUCCGGUGGCACCGGGCACGGCCUCGCUUUCCUCGUGUUUUUAAGGGACAAGUGACAGCGGGUGUUUUGGGAGAGAAGCAGGGAUGAGGCUGGGGCACCGUCAGGCGCUGCAAUGCCAGUGGCACCGGGCACGGCCUCGCUUUCCUCGUGUUUUUAAGGGACAAGUGACAGUGGGUGUUUUGGGAGAGGGGCAGGGAU